This is a long non-coding RNA of Propithecus coquereli (Coquerel's sifaka), 3751 nucleotides long. RefSeq lists it as uncharacterized. The transcript has 3 exons. The record is from RefSeq and is a predicted model, not a curated record. Lineage: Eukaryota; Metazoa; Chordata; Mammalia; Primates; Indriidae.
GCACUGAUCCUGUAGGGCUGCCGUGAGGAUCAGUGAGGAGAACAACACCCGGGCGCCCAGCCUCACACCCUCCCAACACCGCUCAGGCCCCAGCAGCCGGAGGCAGGCGCAGGGACCCCCAGGACGUCCAGCUUCACCACAAGGCGCCUCCCAGUCUGCCCCCAAUCAGAUGACUCGCCCGGUCCCAGCCCCCCAGCUCUGUGUCCAAGGUGGUCUUGGUGAGUCCCUGGACACACGUCACUGUUUUCGCGGGGCUCCCACAGUCACCCUGUAGCCAAGAAGGGCCCCCCGGACUUGGAGGCAGCCUGGGUUAACCUCCCUGCCCAACUCACUGUGUGACCUCCACGCUCCCUCAGUGUCCCCGCCCUGCUCAGGACCAAUGCCCGCAGGGACAGUGACCUGGCCAGCCCCUCAGCCAGCUGCUGGCAGGGCUGGGUUGACAUCCCAGGGUCUGGACUUCAGGCUGAGAGAGGGGGGCCCCCGGAAGCAUUCCUGGGUCGGGGACUCCAGUUGUCUGGCAGGGCAGAGAGGGGCCUGGGAGUGGAUCCCACAGCCCUGUCACCAGGCAAGCGGGAGGUCACGGUCCCACAUACCAGGCUAAUUGGGGUCUGGCAGAGCACACUCCAAACGGCCGGCCUGGCUUUCCCACCCUGUGCACUGACCCCACCCCCAACACACACCCCAAAUCCACGCUGACCAAGCCCCGUGCCACCUGGGCUGUCCCAGGAGGCCGCAGACCAGGCCCUCUCCCAGCCCGGAGGCACCAGGGUGGCUGGGAGCUGCAGGCCUGGGCAUGUCCCCCUGACCGCUGCGGCCAGGGCGCGGCAGGGAAGCAGCCAGGAGACGCGCACGCCCCAGGGGCCUGGGAGAGAUGAGGCUGGCCACAUAAACAGCGACAGGGACUGCGUCUGCCCUAAUCCAAACACUGGAUGUGGAAACCGAGCUCCCAGCACGCAGCGCCUCCCCGCAGGAAUUGCCCAACGGGUCUGUUGCAACGGUUUUGAAUUCCGGCGCCAGCCUCCAGAUGCUGCCGGGCCAGGCUCCCCGCUCCCGGCCACCCCGGAGCUCCCAGGGUUUGGGGAGUGACGGCCCCAGGGCAGGGGCUGGGGGGCCAGGCCCCUCUGGACUACGGGGCAGAUGGGGCCUCAGAGGCAAGACUGUUUCCGGCCAGCCCAUUCCCCACUCCCAGAACGGCCCCCAGGUAUCACCCGCUGGCCCCCAGGAGGCAGGGAGACCACGCCUGUGCCGGCACGGAGAGGCUCCCCCACCCUCCUGGCGCACUGGCGGCCCCGGCGGAGCGAGUCAGUCUUAAACCUGCCCCCACAGAUGCAGCCUCAGCCCCUGGGGUGCCCCUCAGCCCGCGCUCCCGGCCAGGCUUUGGGUAUCCCGGCCUCGGCCCGUCACACCCACCCGCGACCUUCUCUGGGCAAAAGCCAGAACCGGCCCGAUGCCUUCCACCGCCGUUCACCAGAGCUCUCCUUUCAUCUACAGAGUCUGAUUUUUUGUUGUUGUGGUUUAGCCACCAUUUUACUAAGCACUUCACGAGGUGCCAGUGGGACACGACCUCCUCUCCUCUCCUGGUCCCCCUGAAGCAGGUGCCAUCGCCCCGUUUCCCAAGUGAGAAAACCGAGGCUCAGGUGGGGACAGGACCACACGCCCAGGUGCAGGCUCACUCCUUUCAGUGUCCGUCCUCCCUGGUCUGAGCGAGCCCCGCCCUGCCCUCCCUCGGCCCAGCCAGGCACCGGCAGGCCACCCCAGGGCAGGGCACGGUCAGACGGAGCCCCUGCGGCCUGAGCCUCCCUGGGCCCCUUCGGAAGGGGAGCUCCUUUCCAAGAGAUGGUUCUACAGGGACCCACAAGAGCUGUCUGUGUAGAGACAUCUCCCUUCCCACAGCCCGUCAGCUGGGGGGUGACCUCGGGGGAGUGCCCCACCCCUCCUAAGGGACCCCCAGGUCUCAACUCAUUGCCCUGGUGAGGGGCACACCAUCCAGGCUGUCCCCCAGGCCUUACACCUCAGAACCGAGCCCCCACCUCGCAUGGGGGCAGAAACGCCCGGGGCUGCUCUCCAGGAAGCGGCCAGCUGCCCCGGAGGGUGUAGCACCCUCUGAGCCUCGGCGCCCUGGCUGUAAACAGGAGGGGCAGCCACUCCUUAGCCAGGGUCUCCCCGGGCCCUGCACCCUAAGAUAACCAGCCCAGCCCCUUCUGCGCACACGCACCCCUCCCAGGAGGGUUCGGAUCCUCACGCUUGCUCGGGCCACGGCGUGGCUAACGUGUUCCCCAGCAUGUGCUGGGUGGGCCAUGCUGGUCUCUGCCGCCGCCCCCACUCAAUCCUCCUAGCGUGGAACCCCAACCCAGAGCCCAAGCCCACAGGAAGCCUCGGAGGCGAACCCACCAGAGAAUCCUGCCGUCCGCUCCAGCCAAGCUCAGGGGCCGGCCCGAGCCACCAACUGGCCCGUCCACGCCGGACCCAGACGGCACAGAGCAACGUGGCUAGUUAAAAGUUUUAUUGAUUGAACACAAUUGAGUCAUCCUCUUCUCCAAACACACAACUUUCCUUGAAGUCGGAAGGAGGCUCCGUACGCGGGGGGCUGACCCGCGGUUCACCGCGCACCAUGCAGGCACCGUGCCCCACGGCGGCUGCCGAGAGAGGACCAUCUACCCAGGCCAGGCCCUGCCUUGGGAUCAGCUCGAAUCUGUCAGAGCUCGCAACCAGGAAAUUUAUAAAGCACCUACUGUGUACAUGGUCGGGGCAGGGGGGUGGCGGAAAGAACUAGGAUACAAGUUCUCACCUUCAGAAGCUAAAACGGUGCCCGAGCUCUGCACCCAGACACAGAGGCCAGAGGGCACCGGGAAGAGUGGCUCUUUCCAAGGCCCCUGGGAGGGGCCAAGUUGGGUCGGGGCUCCAGGGAUGGGCAAGCUUUAGAGUCGGUGGAAGUGACAGAGAGCCCAGCGUCCUGGCUGCACCACUGACCAUGCCACCUGGCUUCAGGGAGCCUCAGUGUCCCCGUCGUUCCCAUGGGAAUCCCGUCAGCACCGACACCUCGGGGCCAGCGUAGGGGUGAAAUACAGUGCGGAGAGGUGGCUGGUGGCUGGUGCUGGAGACGUCACCAAAGAGAGACAUGGAGGAAAAUGGUGUGGUGGUUUCUGAAGAAGUCAGACACAGAAUGUCUGUGUCACCCAGCACCGCCAGCCCUAAGGAUAUGGUGUGCCCAGAAAGACUGGAAACUGGCCCCCAAAUCCAUGCCCACGUGGCUCACGGCAGCACCGUUCAAGGUAGUCGACAGGUGGAAACAGCCCACAGCCACGUCCAUCGGCGCACGGAUGAGCAGCACGUGGCCCGCCGUGCGGGGGGCAUCACUCGGCCACAGAAAGGAUGAGGCGCCGACACGCGCUCCGCCACGGUGAACCUCGGAAACGCCACGCACGGUGAAAGAACCGGGCACAAAAGGCCACGUCAUAGGAUCCCAUUCACAUGAAAUUACCCGAACAGGCAAAUACUUAGACAGAAAGCAGAUUGGGGGUUUCCAGGGGCUGGAGAGGGGACGGAGGCUCCUUUUCGGGAGAUGACCGUGGUUUGGAACUAGACAGAGGUGGUAGCUGUGCCACAUUAGGAGCACACUAAAUGCCACUGAAUCGCCCACUUUAAAAUGGAUCAUUUUAUGCCGUGUGAAUCUAACUUAAAUAAAAACAAUCUUUUUAACGAAGGAAAUUCAUACAGACAAGCAUGAUGCAUGAACUCUACCCACUGGGCC